Molecule: transfer RNA, 80 nt
Filed under: Nitrospirota bacterium
Lineage: Bacteria; Pseudomonadati; Nitrospirota
Description: Nitrospirae bacterium (groundwater metagenome) tRNA-Leu
Rfam family: tRNA
About the family: Transfer RNA (tRNA) molecules are approximately 80 nucleotides in length. Their secondary structure includes four short double-helical elements and three loops (D, anti-codon, and T loops). Further hydrogen bonds mediate the characteristic L-shaped molecular structure. tRNAs have two regions of fundamental functional importance: the anti-codon, which is responsible for specific mRNA codon recognition, and the 3' end, to which the tRNAs corresponding amino acid is attached (by aminoacyl-tRNA synthetases). tRNAs cope with the degeneracy of the genetic code in two manners: having more than one tRNA (with a specific anti-codon) for a particular amino acid; and 'wobble' base-pairing, i.e. permitting non-standard base-pairing at the 3rd anti-codon position.
Source: RNAcentral
GCGAGGGUGGCGGAAUUGGUAUACGCACCAGACUUAGAAUCUGGCGGGAAACCAUGGGGGUUCAACUCCCCCCUCUCGCA